Anopheles arabiensis is the source of this 305-nucleotide long non-coding RNA. RefSeq lists it as uncharacterized. NCBI's taxonomy places the organism in Eukaryota, Metazoa, Arthropoda, Insecta, Diptera, Culicidae. The transcript has 2 exons. The record is from RefSeq and is a predicted model, not a curated record.
UGCUACGUAAAAACCGGACCACUUCGCUUCCCAAUACCUGGCCGAGAUCCCCAUCCCGUGGCAAGCAAGGAGCCGAUCGAAUCGGUUCAUUACCGGUGCGCGUAGUUGUCGCUAGGCCGAACCUGGACACCCCUCCCGAUUAUAUCCGGAAACCUGCUCCACCGACCCGAUCCAGCUGCUUGGCGUCACUAGUUGCGUUGCGUUAUUUACGCAUAAAACGAGGUAGAAUCAAACGUCCGGAAUUGGGUUUCGAUGUUAGAAAACAGAAUGGAUCAACAUCAAUAAAACAACAACAACAACUCAAA